CGAUUGUCAUCUUCGCCGGAGGAGCUCGUCGUCGGAGCCUCGCCGGAGCCUCGCCAGAGGUCGAACAAGGAGGCGAACCCUCCUGAUAUCCUGUCAUCAGGUCUGCCGCGAACUUUCUUUCCGAUUCGGUUGGCUCUUCCUUCUCCGAUCGACGCGAGAUCCAUUUGAUCGCCGGCGUGAAGAGUUAAUUAGGGUUUCAAGGGUCCGAUCUUGGAUCCAACCUUCGUUCGUGUUGAUUUGGGGAUAGAAGAAUCCUUGGUACGUUGUUUCACGGAUCGGAUUGGGCGAUGUUUUCUGGAGACAACCGAUUGAAGGGAGGGGAGGUUCUGUGAAGGUGAUCUUGGAUUCCCUCUGUGUCGCUGCUAAUUGAGGUCUCGGGUGAAUUGGGAAAGAACUCCAGCAGAGGUUGCUGUGGGUUUUCUGAUCCAGCAAGGUGAA
Zingiber officinale is the source of this 438-nucleotide long non-coding RNA. RefSeq lists it as uncharacterized. The transcript has 4 exons. Lineage: Eukaryota; Viridiplantae; Streptophyta; Magnoliopsida; Zingiberales; Zingiberaceae. The record is from RefSeq and is a predicted model, not a curated record.